AUGGGCGCUGGGGAAGGAGAGGCAGCUGGGAGCAAGGAGAAGAGCAGCGGCGUCGCCCGGACGUCCCUGGACGGCCUGCGGGACAAGAACGUGAUGCAGCUCAAGAAGCUCAACAUGGCGCUCUUCCCCGUCCGCUACAACGACAAAUACUACCAGGACGCCAUCGCCUCCAAGGACUUCUCCAAGCUCGCUUACUAUAGUGAUAUAUGUGUUGGAGCAAUCGCUUGUCGCCUGGAGAAGAAGGAAGGAGGGGUGGUCCGUGUUUAUAUCAUGACUCUGGGUGUAUUGGCGCCCUACCGUGGUCUUGGUCUUGAACAAAGCUGCUGA
RNAcentral lists this ribosomal RNA (327 nucleotides) under Triticum aestivum (bread wheat). RNAcentral's name for it is "partial small subunit ribosomal RNA". Lineage: Eukaryota; Viridiplantae; Streptophyta; Magnoliopsida; Poales; Poaceae. The record is from RNAcentral.